Molecule: ribosomal RNA, 247 nt
Filed under: uncultured bacterium
Lineage: Bacteria
Description: partial 16S ribosomal RNA
Rfam family: Bacterial small subunit ribosomal RNA
Source: RNAcentral
CGAGUGGCGAACGGGUGAGUAACACGUGGGUGAUCUGCCCUGCACUUCGGGAUAACACCGGGAAACCGGUGCUAAUACCGAAUAUUGAAACAUAAGUGGCAUCACUGAGUUUUGAAAGAAUUUCGGUGGAGGAUGACUUCGCGGCCUAUCAGCUAGUUGGUGAGGUAAUGGCUCACCAAGGCAACGACGGGUAGCCGGCCUGAGAGGGCGACCGGCCACACUGGGACUGAGACACGGCCCAGACUCC